Molecule: ribosomal RNA, 253 nt
Filed under: uncultured bacterium
Lineage: Bacteria
Description: partial 16S ribosomal RNA
Rfam family: Bacterial small subunit ribosomal RNA
Source: RNAcentral
UACGUAGGGGGCAAGCGUUAUCCGGAUUUACUGGGUGUAAAGGGAGCGUAGACGGCAGCGCAAGUCUGGAGUGAAAUGCCGGGGCCCAACCCCGGAACUGCUUUGGAAACUGUGCAGCUCGAGUGCAGGAGAGGUAGGCGGAAUUCCUAGUGUAGCGGUGAAAUGCGUAGAUAUUAGGAGGAACACCAGUGGCGAAGGCGGCCUACUGGACGGUGACUGACGCUGAGGCUCGAAAGCGUGGGGAGCAAACAGG